UUAAAGUUUUAUUUUGGCUUGAAAAUUUGUUAUUAAUUUGAUUUAUAUGUAAAUUUUUGUAUGAAUUUGUAUUUAUUUUAAAAAUAAAUAUACUAUAUUUAUUCGCAGUAAUUAAUAUUAUUAAUUAAAGAAAUUUAGAAAUAGCAAUAUUAAAAAGUAUUGGCAAAAUUGGUGCCAGCAGUCGCGGUUACACCAAUAAUACAAAUAAAUUUUUUUAGUAAAAGUUAAAUGAUUAUAAAAUUAAAUAAAAUUAAAUUUAUUAGGUGAAAUUUUAAAUUUAAAUUAUUUAUUUGUAAAUAAAUUGAAACUAAAAAAUUUUAAUUAAAAACUAGGAUUAGAUACCCUAUUAUUUAAAAUGUAAAAAAAAAUUAUUAAAGUAGUAGUAGUUAUGUUCUUGAAACUUAAAAAAUUUGGCGGUAUUUUAAUCUCUCCAGAGGAACCUGUUUUGUAAUCGAUAAUCCACGAUGGACCUUACUUAAGUUUGUAUUCAGUUUAUAUACCGUCGUUAUCAGAAUAUUUUAUAAGAAUAAUAAUAUUCAAUAAUUUUUAAAAAAAUUUAUAUCAGAUCAAGGUGUAGCUUAUAUUUAAGUAAUAAUGGGUUACAAUAAAAAUAUUUAAACGGAUAAAAUUAUGAAAAAAUUUUUGAAGGUGGAUUUGGUAGUAAAAUUAUAAAGAUAAAUAAUUUGAUUAUAGCUCUAAAAUAUGUACACAUCGCCCGUCGCUCUUAUUAUUAAGGUAAGAUAAGUCGUAACAUAGUAGAUGUACUGGAAAGUGUAUCUAGAAUGAC
This 787-nucleotide non-coding RNA is filed under the name Drosophila willistoni. Lineage: Eukaryota; Metazoa; Arthropoda; Insecta; Diptera; Drosophilidae. The record is from RNAcentral.